CAAAAUUUAGUAGAUUACCACAGCAGUUUACGACCAAUAUAGCCUUAGUCCUGCACGCAGGUAUGGCUCGGUCAGACUUUCGUCCAUUGCCGAAAAUUCCUCACUGCUGCCACCCGUAGGUGUNUGGGCCGUGUCGCAGUCCCAGGGUGACUGAUCAUCCUCUCAGACCAGUUACCCGUCUUAGCCUUGGUAAGCCAUUACCUUACCAACUAGCUGAUGGGACGCAAGCAUAACUUUAAGCGAAAAACCUUUAGACUCUCGUCCACAUUUGGGAUUACCUAACCUUUCGAUUAGCUAUACCAAACUUAAAGCUACUACUUACGUGUUACUCACUCGUUUGCCGCUCGUCGACAGGAAGCAAGCUUCCCUCGUUACCGCUCGACUUGCAUGUGUAAAGCCUACCGCCAGCGUUUAUCCUGAGCCAGGAUCAAA
RNAcentral lists this ribosomal RNA (432 nucleotides) under uncultured bacterium. RNAcentral's name for it is "partial 16S ribosomal RNA". The record is from RNAcentral.